UGGCGGACGGGUGAGUAACGCGUGGAAAACCUGCCGUAUACUGGGGGAUAACACUUAGAAAUAGGUGCUAAUACCGCAUAAGCGCACAGCUUCGCAUGAAGCGGUGUGAAAAACUCUGGUGGUAUACGAUGGUUCCGCGUCUGAUUAGCUAGUUGGUGGGGUAAUGGCCUACCAAGGCAACGAUCAGUAGCCGGCCUGAGAGGGUGAACGGCCACACUGGGACUGAGACACGGCCCAAACUCCUACGGGAGGCAGCAG
This 258-nucleotide ribosomal RNA is filed under the name uncultured bacterium. RNAcentral's name for it is "partial 16S ribosomal RNA". It matches the Rfam family "Bacterial small subunit ribosomal RNA", at positions 96 to 354 of the family's 1533-position model. The record is from RNAcentral.